Molecule: small nucleolar RNA, 102 nt
Filed under: Echinops telfairi (small Madagascar hedgehog)
Lineage: Eukaryota; Metazoa; Chordata; Mammalia; Afrosoricida; Tenrecidae
Description: Small nucleolar RNA SNORA42/SNORA80 family (ENSETEG00000023851.1)
Source: RNAcentral
CCAUGGGCCCUCUCACAUGCCCCAUGCUAAAGCAAACUGUCACCCCAAACCAUUGCCUGGCUUUACCCAGUGGCUUAAGGUACUGAAGUGGGUUACACAGGG